Molecule: ribosomal RNA, 306 nt
Filed under: Priestia aryabhattai
Lineage: Bacteria; Bacillati; Bacillota; Bacilli; Caryophanales; Bacillaceae
Description: bacterial SSU rRNA
Rfam family: Bacterial small subunit ribosomal RNA
Source: RNAcentral
UGGUUUAAUUUGAAGCAACGCGAAGAACCCUACCAGGUCUUGACAUCUUCUGACAACUCCAGAGAUAGAGCGUUUCCCUUUGGGGGACAGAGUGACAGGUGGUGCAUGGUUGUCGUCAGCUCGUGUCGUGAGAUGUUGGGUUAAGUCCCGCAACGAGCGCAACCCUUGAUCUUAGUUGCCAGCAUUUAGUUGGGCACUCUAAGGUGACUGCCGGUGACAAACCGGAGGAAGGUGGGGAUGACGUCAAAUCAUCAUGCCCCUUAUGACCUGGGCUACACACGUGCUACAAUGGAUGGUACAAAGGGC